This is a non-coding RNA of Pelobates cultripes (western spadefoot toad), 288 nucleotides long. NCBI's taxonomy places the organism in Eukaryota, Metazoa, Chordata, Amphibia, Anura, Pelobatidae. The record is from the annotation of a GenBank genome assembly.
UGAAUUCCUGAAUAUUAUUCCUUAAUUGCCCUUCAAAUAUACUCCAAUUCACAGAAGUAAAGCUAACAGGUCUAUAAUUUCCAGGCAAGCCUUUUGAACCCUUUUUAAAUAUAGGAACAACAUCUGCCUUCCUUCAAUCCUCCGGUACAAUACCUGAAACAAAAGAAUCUUGAAAAAUUAAAUACAGAGGUUCACUUAUUUCCCCACUUAGCUCCUUAAGUACCCGUGGGUGAAUACCGUCAGGCCCCGGAGCUUUAUUUACAUUAAUUUUCUUUAACUGCUGUAGCA